This 468-nucleotide ribosomal RNA is filed under the name uncultured bacterium. Its description in RNAcentral is "partial 16S ribosomal RNA". It matches the Rfam family "Bacterial small subunit ribosomal RNA", at positions 28 to 523 of the family's 1533-position model. The record is from RNAcentral.
GAUGAACGCUGGCGGCGUGCCUAACACAUGCAAGUCGAGCGAUUUACUUCGGUAAAGAGCGGCGGACGGGUGAGUAACGCGUGGGUAACCUGCCCUGUACACACGGAUAACAUACCGAAAGGUAUGCUAAUACGAGAUAAUAUGCUUUUAUCGCAUGGUAGAAGUAUCAAAGCUCCGGCGGUACAGGAUGGACCCGCGUCUGAUUAGCUAGUUGGUAAGGUAACGGCUUACCAAGGCGACGAUCAGUAGCCGACCUGAGAGGGUGAGCGGCCACAUUGGAACUGAGACACGGUCCAAACUCCUACGGGAGGCAGCAGUGGGGAAUAUUGCACAAUGGGCGAAAGUCUGAUGCAGCAACGCCGCGUGAGCGAUGAAGGCCUUCGGGUCGUAAAGCUCUGUCCUCAAGGAAGAUAAUGACGGUACUUGAGGAGGAAGCCCCGGCUAACUACGUGCCAGCCGCCGCCGUAA